ACUACGGGUGGCAGCAGUGGGGAAUAUUGCGCAAUGGGCGAAAGCCUGACGCAGCGACGCCGCGUGAGGGAUGAAGGUCUUCGGAUCGGAAACCUCUGUCAGCAGGGAAGAACGGUCACUGUGCUAAUCAGCAGUGAAUUGACGGUACCGGCAAAGGAAGCACCGGCUAACGCCGUGCCAGCAGCCGCGGUAAUACGGAGGGGGCGAGCGUUAAUCGGAAUUACUGGGCGUAAAGCGCUCGUAGGCGGUAUGUCAAGUCACGGGUGAAAUCCCCGCGCUCAACGUGGGAACUGCCUUUGAAACUGUCAAACUGGAGUGUGUGAGAGGCUAGUGGAAUUCCCGGUGUAGACGU
RNAcentral lists this ribosomal RNA (352 nucleotides) under uncultured bacterium. RNAcentral describes it as "partial 16S ribosomal RNA". It matches the Rfam family "Bacterial small subunit ribosomal RNA", at positions 338 to 682 of the family's 1533-position model. The record is from RNAcentral.